This 135-nucleotide ribosomal RNA is filed under the name uncultured bacterium. RNAcentral's name for it is "partial 16S ribosomal RNA". It matches the Rfam family "Bacterial small subunit ribosomal RNA", at positions 355 to 507 of the family's 1533-position model. The record is from RNAcentral.
UGGGGAAUAUUGCACAAUGGAGGGAACUCUGAUGCAGCGACGCCGCGUGAGUGAAGAAGGUCUUCGGAUCGUAAAACUCUGUCCUUGGUGAAGAUAAUGACGGUAACCAAGGAGGAAGCCCCGGCUAACUACGUG